CUUGUUGAUGUUCUCCCACUUCUCCUUGCACCUCUUCGAGCUGCGGUUGUAGCCGAGCCGCUGCAUACCCAAGGAGAUCUCCUCCCAGAGGGGGCCCUUCGGGCCAGCUUCCUGGUACCGUGGCUCGAGCCCGCUGCGGAGCUUGAUCAGUGCGUGGACCUCGGACUUGGGCCACCGGGACGGCGUCACCCCUGGCUCGAAAGCCCCUCUCGGUGUCGUCGCCACCGCUAACUCCUGUUGCUCGGGUACUGGGACCAGCUCAGUGCAGGAUGAUGAUGGUAGGUUUCUUACUACUACUGUCUCGGAAGUCUGGUGGGCGUGGUGCAGCUCAUGUGGUGGUGGCUGCUGCGGUGGUGGCUGCGGUGGAGG
This 369-nucleotide unclassified non-coding RNA is filed under the name Hevea brasiliensis (rubber tree). Lineage: Eukaryota; Viridiplantae; Streptophyta; Magnoliopsida; Malpighiales; Euphorbiaceae. The record is from RNAcentral.